Molecule: long non-coding RNA, 231 nt
Filed under: Gallus gallus (chicken)
Lineage: Eukaryota; Metazoa; Chordata; Aves; Galliformes; Phasianidae
Source: RNAcentral
CAUCUGUCUUGUUCUGCUGACUUCCCAAAGUCUGUGAACUGGAGCUGAGUUCAGGCUUGGAACUGGAGGCUUGGGUACAAACAUGUCCCGAAUCUGUGCUGGUCACUGAUUCCACUUGCCAACAAACAGGCUCUGGUGAUGGUGCAACAGUAGCCAUUUUCAUCUGCUGACAAAGCCGUGACUCCUGUUGCUGAAAUCCAAGACCCUCCAAAGGCACUUCAAGCUCUUCUU